GGAAUCUACCUAGUAGUGGGGGAUAGCUCGGGGAAACUCGAAUUAAUACCGCAUACGACCUACGGGAGAAAGGGGGCAACUUGUUGCUCUCGCUAUUAGAUGAGCCUAAGUCGGAUUAGCUAGAUGGUGGGGUAAAGGCCUACCAUGGCGACGAUCUGUAGCUGGUCUGAGAGGAUGAUCAGCCACACCGGGACUGAGACACGGCCCGGACUCCUACGGGAGGCAGCAGUGGGGAAUAUUGGACAAUGGGGGAAACCCUGAUCCAGCCAUGCCGCGUGUGUGAAGAAGGCCUUUUGGUUGUAAAGCACUUUAAGCAGUGAAGAAGACUCUUCGGUUAAUACCCGGAGACGAUGACAUUAGCUGCAGAAUAAGCACCGGCUAACUCUGUGCCAGCAGCCGCGGUAAUACAGAGGGUGCAAGCGUUAAUCGGAAUUACUGGGCGUAAAGCGAGCGUAGGUGGCUUGAUAAGUCAGAUGUGAAAUCCCCGGGCUUAACCUGGGAACUGCAUCUGAUACUGUCAGGCUAGAGUAGGUGAGAGGAAGGUAGAAUUCCAGGUGUAGCGGUGAAAUGCGUAGAGAUCUGGAGGAAUACCGAUGGCGAAGGCAGCCUUCUGGCAUCAUACUGACACUGAGGCUCGAAAGCGUGGGUAGCAAACAGGAUUAGAUACCCUGGUAGUCCACGCCGUAAACGAUGUCUACUAGUCGUUGGGUCCCUUGAGGACUUAGUGACGCAGCUAACGCAAUAAGUAGACCGCCUGGGGAGUACGGCCGCAAGGUUAAAACUCAAAUGAAUUGACGGGGGCCCGCACAAGCGGUGGAGCAUGUGGUUUAAUUCGAUGCAACGCGAAGAACCUUACCUGGUCUUGACAUAUCUAGAAUCCUGCAGAGAUGCGGGAGUGCCUUCGGGAAUUAGAAUACAGGUGCUGCAUGGCUGUCGUCAGC
RNAcentral lists this ribosomal RNA (941 nucleotides) under Psychrobacter alimentarius. RNAcentral's name for it is "bacterial SSU rRNA". It matches the Rfam family "Bacterial small subunit ribosomal RNA", at positions 121 to 1059 of the family's 1533-position model. Lineage: Bacteria; Pseudomonadati; Pseudomonadota; Gammaproteobacteria; Moraxellales; Moraxellaceae. The record is from RNAcentral.